CCUUUUCUCCAGCAUCGCUCCAUGGGCAUCAGCUGUUUUCACUCAGCAGCCCAUCAGGUUGUAUAAAAUGAGGGGUUUUGCCUUCUUGCUUUUCCUCUGCACGUUUGUGGUAGCAGCUAUAGGCAGCAGCUUGGGGUACAGGCAGACUGCAGACAGGGGAGAACACCUGGGGGGUUUUAUUCUCCUUUAAGGUCUUAAGGAUGAAGUUGUGCUCUGCUCAUCAAGCAGUGGCUGGUGGCAUUUGGUGGCAGGAUUUGUCAGAUAGAAAGAAUACCCUGAUGUGCUCUGGGAAAAUUAAGAAGAGGAAGGAUAAUUUCAGGCUUAAUUUAGCAAACUUUUUAUACAGGCACCCACUGGGGAGGAAGGGUAGUCAGCCAGUUAAAAUACUGCCUUUGUACAGAGCACUUGGCCUUUGGCUUUUCCACAGGCUUCCUGUAGAACCUGUAAUAAAAUCACUGGGAGACAAUCAUUUUUGAAGUCCUUUAGGCAAGUAAAAUCCUUAGGAAAUUGCUCUGGAGAAUUGUCUUGUGUUCAUGCCUCAGUUUCUCAAAUAUAUAUAUAUAUUUUAUAUUUAUAUAUAUAUAUAUAAAGCAGUAGUAUAACUUCUACUCCAUCUGCGUUGUCCUCUCAGGCACAGGGCAUCUCUGAGGUUGGGUUUACACUUUGCUAUGAAGAAGAGUGAGGGUUGGGUGAGGUCUGCAUGUGUCACCUGCGUGCCCUGCUGGCUCUCCCUUUUCCAUGGCAGGGCUGUGGCAGCCUCAGCAAGCACCGAGCAGAGGAUGGGGCUGGCCAUGGGGCUGGUUCCUUUGCAGCGGUCCUCUGGAAAACUGGUCUCUAGAACAGCAUCACUGCAGCCCACCUGGUGUUGAUGAGCACAGGGUCUGGAGCUGUGUCCUGAUGUUCCCUGGAGAAGCACUAAGCACCACCUCAGCAAACCACCCUCCGUGGUGGGCUGCAACUGCUGAGGUUGUCUUGCAGGGAUCACUCCCAAUGGGAAAGUGGGGGCGCUGCGAGGAAUCCUUUCCCUGUCCAGCACCGAUGAGCAAAUCACCAUCUAGAAUUGCAAACAUCAGCCCUCACUAUCUGAUGUGUGCAACCUGAACUGACAUCUCCUGAGCCAUGGCACUCUUGCAGCUUGGAACUCCUAGAAUCUCUGCUCCAACAGUUUGCUUCCCAAGCUGCAAGCAGAAAAUCAUAAAUAUUUCCCCACAAAAUAUUUUGGAAAGAAACAAAGCAUUUCCACUUUUUCCAUUUUUUUUUAAAUAAACUUUCCA
Molecule: long non-coding RNA, 1274 nt
Filed under: Anas platyrhynchos platyrhynchos (common mallard)
Lineage: Eukaryota; Metazoa; Chordata; Aves; Anseriformes; Anatidae
Description: lncRNA (ENSAPLG00000019873.1)
Source: RNAcentral